UUUCGGCCCUUUCAAGUGGUUCGUGGUCAAUCCAGUGUGGCUCGCUUUGGUGCUGUAUUCACCUGCUCGUCUUCAGGAGCGAUUCCCCUUGAAGUGGUCUUUGAUAAAUCUACGGAUUCAUUUAUUCAAGCUUUGCGUCGAUACGAUGCUCGUUGGGAGCAAGUUUGGAUGAUGAGAUCGGAUAAUGGAACGUACUUCGUGGGAGCCGAAAGGAGUUGAAAGAAAUGUUGGUGGAAGUGCGAAUAUCCGUCAACGCUAAUGACAGACAACGAUGGAACAAGCAGAAACGGAGUGUUUGUGUCGGAGACUCACGUACUUCAUCUGGUAAUGGAAAAUAACCCACGCUAUUGGUGGCUAUUGGUGAGAGUGGUGCUAGUUUUCCCUCAAAAGGAUGGAUGCGUGCGAGAGAUCGGAGUUAAGACAUGUCGCGAAUUGUUGACUACAAGGGACCGAUAUCUCAAUUGGUUAUGCUCCAAGAAAACAACCUAUUACGACUUGAAAAGCCUCUUCAUUGAUGUGCAUACAGAUCGCCUCUCCGGCUUGCCAGUUACUGAGUGAAUUAGUCGACCGGCGACUUUAUUGAACUUAUUCUGUUACUUCCGGAGAAAAUUUCCAGAUCUAGUCGUUCCUGAAAACUUCGUGACCGACGAGAGGCCACAAUAUUCUUCGGGAAAAUUUCGCACUUUAACCAACGCUGGAAUAUCCAUCAUCAAAUCACCAGCCCUAACUACCCAUAGAGCAACGGUCAUGGCGAGAGUGUUGUGAAGGCCACGAGGCUCCUUCUCCAAACGACGACAGUAAACGGUGAUAUUGAGUACGGUAAAUUCCAACGUGGAGUUUUGGAUUGGCGAAAGCUCUCUAUCCAACGUCAAAAGAUCGUGUUGUUCGGAGGACCUUUGGAAUCGGACAUCUUUACUCACCGGAAAAGAUUCGCUCUUGAUUGACAUCAACUUCAAAUCGGGGAGAUUGUGAGGGAGAAAAUCGAGAAGUAUUACAACAGAUAAUAUAUAUACUCGUUCCCUGCGCCCUCUUUGCAUUGGUGACAAAGGCGAUUCUA
Tigriopus californicus is the source of this 1057-nucleotide long non-coding RNA. RefSeq lists it as uncharacterized. The record is from RefSeq and is a predicted model, not a curated record. The transcript has 2 exons. Lineage: Eukaryota; Metazoa; Arthropoda; Copepoda; Harpacticoida; Harpacticidae.